This 23-nucleotide non-coding RNA is filed under the name Arabidopsis thaliana (thale cress). Lineage: Eukaryota; Viridiplantae; Streptophyta; Magnoliopsida; Brassicales; Brassicaceae. The record is from RNAcentral.
AGGCUUAUAAGAUCCGGUUGUGG